CGCCCGUGGUCGAGGUCGCGGCGAGGGUGUGCUUGCCGUCCUUGAUCGCGGUGGUGUCGAGAUCGGCGCUCAGGCCGCCGGCGGGGGC
This 88-nucleotide transfer RNA is filed under the name Microbispora siamensis. RNAcentral describes it as "tRNA-Lys". Lineage: Bacteria; Bacillati; Actinomycetota; Actinomycetes; Streptosporangiales; Streptosporangiaceae. The record is from RNAcentral.